RNAcentral lists this long non-coding RNA (388 nucleotides) under Homo sapiens (human). RNAcentral describes it as "non-protein coding lnc-KDR-1:2". The record is from RNAcentral. Lineage: Eukaryota; Metazoa; Chordata; Mammalia; Primates; Hominidae.
UUUUCAUCCAUCUUUGCAACCAGUAUUGAUAGAGUGGCUACUGUGACUUGCACUAAGCUGGGUGGGCAUGCUUUAGGCACCCAGGGAAGCAAGGCAUGGUCUCUCACCUCAAGGAGCCCACCCACUUCCAGGAGAAACAGCUUUGCCACUUCAUUCUUGGGCCCACGCUGAAGAACCAGUCUUUUUCUGAAACAUUGCUAAGAAUGUGGCAGAAGGAAGAGAUAUGGCAGAACUUCAUCAUGGCCCUGACAAACUCUGCUCUGAAAACCUUCAUGAUGGUGCUGAAAACUGACUCCCCCUGAGAGUUCCUUGGCUAAAUGAGUCACUUGGCCAAGCCUGACAUCCUCAGAGUGGGAAAACAAUCUUCCCAAAAUAAGGGCACCAUAAA